RNAcentral lists this long non-coding RNA (1002 nucleotides) under Monodelphis domestica (gray short-tailed opossum). RNAcentral describes it as "lncRNA (ENSMODG00000050424.1)". Lineage: Eukaryota; Metazoa; Chordata; Mammalia; Didelphimorphia; Didelphidae. The record is from RNAcentral.
GAGGCUCCCAAAGAGCUUCCUGUCACACACACACACACACACACACACACACACACACACACACACACGAGCAUAGGCGCACACACAGGCGCAGAAAACAGGUACAUACGUACACACACACGCGCGAGACACACGGGGGCAAACGCGCGCGUGCGCACACUCACGCAUCAGCAUAAGUUUUGCUCCAAGACUCCCACGGAGACAAGAUGUGGUCGUAUACCCCCGCUUCAGUGUCCGGGAAGCGCCGGGUGGGGGAUAGUCACUGGAGAGAAGUUGAGGAGGGCCCCCGCCGUCUUCUCCGCCGGCCUUAGGGCCAAGACCAGGACCAGGCGACAGCGGCAGGCGAAACCGGUCCAGGAACAGGCAGGUGGCAGCGGGGGCGAAGGGCCAGCGCCACAGGUGACUCCCCUCAGAAAAGGAGGUGCAGGAGCGGUGGCCGGGACCCCUAGAAACUGGGCGAGGGAACAGCAAAAAGGCCCGGGUGCCGAAGGUCGGCGGCGCGCGGCGGCAGGGUGGAGAACCCGGACCGGCAGAGCCCGGACGGAAGGACCAGGACACGCGCGGCCUAGAGCCCAGCGAAGGAGGGCGGCGUUCCGCAGACCGACGUUACCUGCGGAGGCUGCGGCUCCUCGCGGGGCCGCGCGAAGGCCUGGCCUCCGCUCGCUCCCGCCCGCCUGUCGGCUUUGCGAUCCAGCUCCGGGUGACGAGGGGAGGGAUGGGAGAGACUUGCUUGGCUCCAAAAGCGGCUCCCAGGCUCCACUCCGCUCCCCUCCCAUUCACCUCUCACCUCCUACCUUUCCCCUCCUACCGUCCCGCCCACUGUGCCUUCAACUCCUCCCCAAUCUCCUAGCUCCUCCUCUUCCCGGCCCACGCACGUGCUUCCGCACGCCGGCCGCGGCGCCUCCAGCCACGCCCUCUCCCCGCCUCUCGUUGGUGCGCACGCGCAGGUCCACCGGCGUUGGAGAGGCUUUGAGAAGGUGGGCGAGGCUCACGCCCUCCUAA